CACUGGCGUCACUGUCUCCGUUCGGUCACACACUGUGUGCUUGAAGUUUGGACUUGCUAUUUACUCGCAAUUUAAAUCUUAAUCAUUAAGUUCUUCCUCAUUCGCUACGUAUUUGUCUCUCCUACUUAGGGUGACCAAACCCUUAAUACAUUUAUACAAACAAAACUGCUUUAAAAACGGAGAAGCAUCGAUGGAGGCGUUGGAGCUGGAGCUGGAAGAAGUGGAGUCCCAGAUCCGCGCGCUGGUGGUAAGACGGUCGCGGCUACGGGAACGGCUUCUAGCCGUACCUCAUGCUAAGGCCGUCUCAUCACCUAAGGUACGUGGAAAUUACAACCACAUCAUUCCCUCUACCUCAACCCCGCGUCCUUCUCUGUCCAGGCCCAGCGCACCCGGGGCGCGGCUCAGCCAGGCGUCGUUCACGCCGACACCCGGCUACCACGGCGCCUGGGUGCAGCCGCGCAAGGUGCUUCCCAGAUCCCGGGGCAGAACGUCUCCGCCUGUGUUCGAGAUCUCCACGGAGAACCGCUUCUCCCCGCUCCGCGAGUCGGGUCCGAUGUGGCCAUCAUCGGUGACUCGAUCGUUCGUCACGUCCGUGCCGCCUCCUCAAAAGGUAAUAAAGUACGUACUUUCUGCUUUCCUGGUGCCCGUGUGAAAAAUAUUUCUACACAGAUUCCAACCAUCCUGGGCGCUGCCGAGAGCCCUGGUGCCGUUGUCCUCCACGUGGGGACAAACGACACCGGGCUCCGGCAGUCGGAGAUCCUGAAGAAGGACUUCAGGAGCCUGAUCGAGACGGUUCGACGCACCUCGCCCGCCACGCAGAUCAUCGUUUCUGGGCCGCUUCCUACCUACCGCCGAGGAAAUGAAAGGUUCAGUAGACUUUUAGCUUUGAAUGAAUGGCUAAUAACAUGGUGUAAAGAACAAAAAUUGCUCUUUGCUAAUAACUGGAAUCUUUUCUGGGAGCGUCCUAGGCUCUUCCGUCCUGACGGCCUGCACCCCAGUCGAGCCGGAGCUGAACUCCUGUCGGACAACAUCUCCAGACUACUUCGCACCAUCUGACUAGCAGGUAAAAAUUCACAAAAUUCACACUAUAGCCACCUAGACUCUUGUUCACCCCACUUAAACAUCAGUAACGCAUAUCUGGCGAAUCCUAUAGAGACUGUGUCUGUUCCUCGUAUUAUUAGAUUAAGAAAUAAACGUACUGUGUGCUCCAGGAAAAAUCUAGUAAGAAUCAAACCAGAAAAACCAGUAGAAAGUGAAAAUACAAAUUUCGUAAAACUUGGUCUCCUAAACAUCAGGUCACUUGCACCUAAAGCACUUAUCAUUAAUGAAAUAAUAACAGAAAACAAUCUUAAUGUACUCUGUCUCACUGAAACCUGGCUGAAACAAAAUGACUAUAUUUGCUUAAAUGAAGCAACUCCUCCAGGAUUCUUAUAUAAACAUGAGGCUCGUCAAACUGGUCGUGGUGGUGGAGUUGCAUCAAUCUUUAGUGAUUUCCUUAAUAUUAAACAGAGAAACGAACUUAUGUUUAGCUCUUUUGAAGUAUUAUCGCUUAAUGUUCAGCUUCCACAUACUAUACAAAAACCUAUGUUAUCUCUCGCUUUAAUCACCAUAUAUAGACCCCCAGGACCCUAUGUCAAAUUUCUAAAAGAAUUUUCUGAUUUUAUUUCUGACUUACUAGUCAAAACUGAUAAAAUGCUAAUUGUAGGUGACUUUAACAUCCACAUAGAUGACGCUAAUGAUACAUUAGGGCUCGCGUUUAUGGAUUUAAUACACUCACUUGGGAUAAAGCAAAACGUUGUGGGUCCAACCCAUCGCUUAAAGCAUACAUUAGAUCUAAUUCUGUCUUAUGGAAUCGAGGUUAUUGACGUAGACAUUAUACCACAAAGUGAUGAUAUUACAGAUCACUACCUCUUACUAUAUAAGCUAUGUUUACCUGAAAUCAGCAAACCCGCUCUAAUACUCCGCCCUAGUAGAACUAUUGUUCCGUCAACUAAAGAUGAAUUUAUAAAUAACUUACCUGAUCUCUCUCUAUUUCGUAAUGCACCCGCAAACUCAAAUGAUCUUGAUGUAGUAACCAGCAGUAUGGAUGCCAUCUUUACUAGCACACUAAAUACUGUGGCACCCAUCAAAUUAAAAAAGGCUAGAGAGAUUAAAACUAUACCAUGGUAUAAUAGUCAUACUCGUGCGCUCAAAACAGCAACCCGCGCCCUGGAACGUAAAUGGAAAAAAA
RNAcentral lists this long non-coding RNA (2230 nucleotides) under Danio rerio (zebrafish). RNAcentral describes it as "si:cabz01070527.3 (ENSDARG00000104600.3)". Lineage: Eukaryota; Metazoa; Chordata; Actinopteri; Cypriniformes; Danionidae. The record is from RNAcentral.